This is an RNA transcript of Myotis davidii, 503 nucleotides long. RefSeq lists it as uncharacterized. NCBI's taxonomy places the organism in Eukaryota, Metazoa, Chordata, Mammalia, Chiroptera, Vespertilionidae. The transcript has 2 exons. The record is from RefSeq and is a predicted model, not a curated record.
CCAGCAGCCACCCCCCGCCCUGCUGCAGCCACAGGUGAGUCCACAGCUGAGCAGCAGCCGGCCCCCCGGUGGCCAGCCAGCACUCUGUCCCCACAGCCCCUCGACUGCACUGCCAUCCGGUACCCAAGAGCCGACCUGUUUGCAGUCCUGCAGCCCAACCCGCCCACCCGGGAUGGGCCACCAGCAGCACCAACUGCCGAAGGUUCCGGAAAAAGAGCCUGCAGCCGCCCAGCCUCUGCCGCUGCCCGAGGUGCGUGAGGACAGUAAUCAGGGUCUGGCCCCCACUCCCGUAUCGGUCAAGCGAGAGCCUCAGGAGUUGGACCAGCUGUACCUGGAUGACGUAAAUGAAAUAAUACGAAACGACCUCUCCAGCACCAGCACCCAUUCGUAGUUGGCAACAUCGGGACUCACUCAGGAGCCACAUGGUGUCGAUGGGUGACAGUGGAGGUUCAGCAUCCAGACUUCUGACUAAAUAAACUGAGCACACCUGGUACCACUCAGAA